CUAGGGAAUGAGACAUGGAGGUCUUGUUGCUAGUGGAACUACAGCUGGCAGGCAGGAGACACUCAGCAAUGGUGAAUGAUCCUCUAACUCAGUGGCUGCACUGCUAGGAACUUAACCUAAGAGGGAGAGAUACCAGGAGGACAUGUCCACAGAGAGAAGACCAUGUGAAGAGGCAGCAAGAGGGUGGCCAUCUGCACACCAAGGGGAGAUGCCUGGAACAGAUUCUUCCAUUAUCGCCCUCAGAAGGAAACCAAUCCUGCUGACAAACUUGACCUGGGACUUCCCAGCCUCCAGAACUGAGAAAUUUCUGCUGUUUAAGCCACCCAACAAAGUUCAAUGUGGCCACCGACCUGCCUUUUCAAACUCAUCAUUGUUACGAUUCCAUGAAUUGUUUGAAGUCCAGGAAGGUGAGUUCCCAUGGCAAGUGAGUAUCCAGAUCUCACGGAAACACCUCUGUGGAGGCUCAAUCAUACAUCAGUGGUGGGUUUUGACAGCUGCACAUUGCUUCCCAAGAACCCUGUUAGAAAUAGCAUUGGGAAAUGUUACUGUGGUCAUGGGAACCAGAAUAUUCAGCGACGUCCGCUUGGAGAGAAAGCAAGUGCAGAAGAUAAUUAUUCACAAAGAUUAUAAACCACCCCACCUUGACAGUGAUCUCUCCCUGCUCCUGCUUGCCACACCAGUAAAAUUCACUAACUUCAAAAUGCCCAUCUGCCUGCAGAAGAAGGAAAGGAUCUGGGACAGAUGUUGGAUGGCAGAGUGGGUGACAGCUUAUGAAUAUGACCAACAUGACAACUUAAACAUGUACCUGCAGAAGAUGAGAGUGCUGCAGAUUAGCUGGAGAGAAUGCAGCAAGAGGGUAGAUCAGCUCUCCAGGAACAUGGUUUGUGCUUGGAAGGAACCAGGCACCAAAGGCAAUUGCCAGGUUCUUUCAGAGCAUGGCUAUGGCUGAUCACUACUGAUAUCCAGGAGGUACAAACUACUGGGAGGAUUACCACCAGCAGUACCUGAGCAAGAACCCCAAUGGUCACUGAGGAAUGCCAGCUGAGGACACUGUGAGAAGUUGGCCAUGUGCAAGCCAGGAAGAGGGCCCUCACCAGGAACAGAAUAAUCUGGCACCUUGAUCUCAGACUUCUAGCCUCUAAAACUGGCUGGCCCUUGAGAUCACAGCAGAAACGCUUUCAACAAACUGGGCAAGUCUUUUGUGGUUCACAUCAGUGGCUUUUCGAAGUGUACAAAGUAUAAAGUCAUUUUUAAAAGUCUGAUUUAAAAGUAUAAUUUAUAUUUAUUUAGUAAUUUCACUUUUUUAAGGUGUAUGGUAUUAAGAAUCCUGACAAAUACAGGGGCACCUAGGUGGCUCAGUAGGCUGAGUGUGCGACUCUUGAUUUCAGCUCAGGUCAAGAUCUCGUGGUUCAUGAGUUCGAGCCCAACAUCGGGCUCUGCACUGACAGCACAGAACCUGCUUGAGAUUCUCUCCCUCUCUGCCCUUCCCAGACUCUCUCUCUCUCUUUCUCUCACAAAAUAAAGAAAUAAAACUUAAAAAAAAUGAAGAAUCCUGGGUGCCUGGGUGGCUCAGUCAGUUAAACAUCAGACUUCGGCUCAGGUCAUGAUCUGACAUGCUGACAGCUCAGAGCUUGGAGCCUGCUUCAGAUUCAGUGUCUCCCUCUCUCUCUGUCCCUACCCUACUUUCACCCUGUCUCUCUCUCAAAAUAAAUAAACACUAAAAAAAUUUUUAAAUUAAGAAUCCUGACAAAUACAAAUGUCUGUGUAAUCAUUACCACAAUGCAGACAUAGAAACUUCCUACCCGCCCCCCAAAUGUUCCCCGUGCUCCUGGGAACCCAUCCUCUUCCCCAAACCUCAGCUCCUGGCAACAACUGAUGUAUUCUUUGUGCCUGUUGUUUGUCUUUUUAGAAUGCCAUCUAAAUGGCAUCAUACCGAA
Neofelis nebulosa (Clouded leopard) is the source of this 1937-nucleotide RNA transcript. It is a transcript of the gene named serine protease 51, with no coding region annotated. The transcript has 8 exons. The record is from RefSeq and is a predicted model, not a curated record. NCBI's taxonomy places the organism in Eukaryota, Metazoa, Chordata, Mammalia, Carnivora, Felidae.